UACAGAGGGUGCAAGCGUUGUUCGGAAUUAUUGGGCGUAAAGAGCUCGUAGGCGGCCUGUUGCGUCCGCUGUGAAAGCCCGGGGCUUAACCCCGGGUCGGCAGUGGAUACGGGCAGGCUAGAGGUAGGUAGGGGAGAAUGGAAUUCCCGGUGUAGCGGUGAAAUGCGCAGAUAUCGGGAGGAACACCGGUGGCGAAGGCGGUUCUCUGGGCCUUACCUGACGCUGAGGAGCGAAAGCGUGGGGAGCGAACAGG
This 253-nucleotide ribosomal RNA is filed under the name uncultured bacterium. RNAcentral describes it as "partial 16S ribosomal RNA". It matches the Rfam family "Bacterial small subunit ribosomal RNA", at positions 524 to 776 of the family's 1533-position model. The record is from RNAcentral.